Molecule: ribosomal RNA, 171 nt
Filed under: uncultured bacterium
Lineage: Bacteria
Description: partial 16S ribosomal RNA
Rfam family: Bacterial small subunit ribosomal RNA
Source: RNAcentral
CACGCUGUAAACGAUGUGCGCUGGAUGUUGGGUAACUUAGUUACUCAGUGUCGUAGCUAACGCGAUAAGCGCACCGCCUGGGGAGNACGCGCAGAACCUUACCAGGACUUGACAUGGGGAGGCUGUAAUCAGAGAUGGUUAUUUCCCGCAAGGGACCUCCUGCACAGGUGC